AUGUACAGUAGCGUUCGCGUCGUCGCG
This 27-nucleotide small RNA is filed under the name Bombyx mori (domestic silkworm). RNAcentral describes it as "ovarian small RNA-12645". Lineage: Eukaryota; Metazoa; Arthropoda; Insecta; Lepidoptera; Bombycidae. The record is from RNAcentral.